UUUAGAAACAGAAACAUUUUGGAAAGAUUUUUAAAGAAAUAUUUCAUUAUAAUAUUUGAGAUUGUGUAAGAUUUUAAGGGUGUCUGAAAGCUUUUUUCCACCGCUGUACACAGUGGUAUGUACAGAUAGACACCAGGUGCUGCUAGAGCACCUGCCCCUUGCACUCAGUAUCAAGCAGGUGCCCUCCACGUCUCAACUUUUGUUUUAUUUAAACAAACACACACAGAGGCACUCACACAGAGGCACACACACACAAAUACAGAAGGCAUGCAUGGUAAACUCUCAUGGUUUACAUGGUCAAGUAUAAUGUCCCAUUUCUGUGUUGUUUCUUGUUCUGUUUGUUCCUGUUGUCUGAAUGACUGGUCUAAUAUCAACUUGUCACCGUAAACAUGAUGCACAUUAGAUGUGUAUUUUGACAGAUGUGAUGUAGAAGCAUGAUCUUUUGAUGUGAGGUUGUUUUUUUUUCCAGGACCCCAGGAAGACUAGCUGGUGCCAUUCGCCAUAGGUCCCACACGUGUCUUGUGGCAGCCAACUUGUCCAAACCGAGGCGUCACCUAGACUCUCUGGUCCUUCGGUCGUCAAACCAUAGCGUGCUAGAGUAUGCUCUGAAUGUCUUUAGCGACAUGCCGGACCGCAACAGUGGUCGCCUGGUAUUGGGAUCUCAGUGACUCUCGCAGGCCUUGCCUCCAGACCUGCAGAUGCCAGACAGAAUGAGCUAGCCCUGGUACGCUCGAAACCUGGUCUGUCCAUCCUUCUCCAUCCGUCCGGGGCUCACACUCUACUCUCUUACCUCGUGACUGGUCAUUUCGAUCACCGUGUCCUGGAUAUCUGGGAGGAUGAAUGCGAGGAAUGUGGAGAAUAUGUCUUUGGCCUUGGCUUUGGCAAGAGCUGUGGGUCCCGGAGCUGGGUUGGGGUGAAGAUGGUCAUGGUCACCAUCGUCAUCGUCAUCAUUUGCCCCCGGGCGACCUGGGCACUGAGCUUCACCAUCUCCGUUGCUGUUACUGGGCAUGCUCCUUGGGCUCAGUUGUGCUGCUCGUCGGGCUUGUCCCCUAUCGUUCCAUGGAUCGAGCUGCUGGAGUGUUAUCCAUCACAUGUUGGUGGUUUCUUUGUCUGACUCUGGAAGGCCAGAAGAAACCGUUUCAGUUGUAGGACUCUGAGGUUGUUGUUGUUUUUGUUCUUGUUGGUGGUGGUGGUGCUGCUGUUCUGCAGUAGCAGCAGCAGUCUCGUUUCUCCUGUUCCCGAUGAGGUUUCGAGGUUUUGUUGUGGUUGUUGUUGUGUAGUAGCAGCAGUAGUCUCGUCUUCCCUGGUCCCGACUAGUUCCUGAGUCCUGAGAGCAGGGUCUGAACAUGAGCAUGUUGUCCUCUUCCUCGUGCUCUUCCUCAUUCCCCAUCUCCUUGUUGUAUCCUCUGUUGGUGGCUUACUAUCCAUGUCGGAGGAGAGCCCCCUGGUCCUGGUUGAGUUUGUUGUGUUGCUGGAGGAGCAUAUUAUACGUUCGACUUGUGACAGACCUACUGUAUGGGCCAUGGUCAAGAAUAAGGGAAAAGAUCCAGUCGAUCUCUUUCACCUGUAGGAGGUGGGGUAGAUGGGGGGGAUCGUCAUGUUAUUAUUGUUUUGUUUAGCUUGACCGACCGCUCCCCAAUGACCAGCUUUCUUACUCCCGGCCGACCGGCCUUGUUUCUUUUGUUAUUUUUUGAUUUGUUUUUUUUUUUCAUUUAGCCCGACCGGCCAACCGCUCCCAACCGACCAGGUCUUGCUUUUUUUGGUUAGAUUUUGAUCCACAGCACGCUUGUUUCCCUCCUGGCAGCACUCCUGGGCUUUGACCUUGACUUUGAGCUCAAGGUCGCCUGCGAUCUCUGAAAAACACAGGUUCAGCUGCUAUUCCAUCAGUGACUGGUCGAAAGGCUCUGGAUAGGGUUCCCCCGUGGCCAUGCCUAAAGUGCUCCUGGAUUUGGUGCACAGGUUGUCCAGCUUGAGCAAAUUUUUGUAAUACCGCGGGUGCAGCGAGGGAGACUCAAAGAUCUUGUACCCAGCGGCCUUGACCCACAGAUGGUUUCCUUCCAUCAUGAUUGAAUCCGUUAGCUUGACACCAUUACCUUAUAGACGUCAUUGCUGUCGUUGUCGUCGCUAUCAUCGUCGUCGCUAUCUGGUCACGCUGGCUCGCCCAUGACCAUGUCACAUCGCGUCUCCGAAGCCUGGCUCUCUGCGCUCUCACCGCUCCCAAAAGGCAUCUUUUGUUGUUUGUGUUUUUCACCUUGGGUUUCUGUCAGACUCUCUGGCUGCUUUGAGGCUGACUAUGAUCCCCCCAUCUUGUACAUGUACGGCAGUCAUAAAUAAUAAUAAAAAAAUCCUUCUGGUACCCUAGAGUGGAUGUCUGGUACCCUAGAAACCUGGGGUUGAUCACUCUUCAGCCAGUGAGCAACCUCACUGAUGCGGUGACCGUGCACAAGGGUUAAAGCAUCAAUAAACUGCAGCAACAGGUGUGAUUAAAAUAACACAAACGCUGAAAAACACACAGUGAGUAAUGGCUCUGAUUUGAAUAUACAAAGUUUGUCUGGACAUCAUUUGAAAUGUGCAUGUGUGUGUGUGUCCAUAGCGUGUUUCUGACAGUUUUGGUUGAUCAUCUGACAAUCAGUUUGUCAUUGUCACAGUGUUUUAUCAAUGCAAAUGGAACAUAUUUGAAUUUAACUCAGAGAGGUGGAGUGUUGCUGCGUUAUCCAUCCAAUACAGGAUAUCUGGAUCAAACACUCCACAGAGUCCACCGAGGAGGGACACAGAGGGAGGAAGCUCAGAAACAAACACUCAGAAGAUGUCUGUAAACUCCUCCAAAGAUUCCCUUCUCCAUCCAAACAUCUCCUCCAUUAGCUCUGACUUCUCUUUAUUCAUCCAUUGUCUAAUGUCCAGACCAAGCUCCCUCAUCUUCACCACAUUCAUCUUCACCAACAUCCUCCUCCUCCUUCCCCUGUCCAUCUUCAUCAUCUACCAUGGUCUCCAACAAUGGAGACAAAAUCACUCCACCUCCUCAGCAGCAAUCAUGAGUCACUCUGACAGCUUCACCUACAACAUGGUCACCAUGGAGAUGAUUGGAGUCUUUGGGUCUGUCCUCUGCUGCUGUGGUAUCUACGCUGAUCAUUUAAUCACAUUAUUAGUGGGGGUCUGUCUUUUUCUUUCACCUGGUAUGGUGGGAUGUUCUUCCACGUCCUGACCUGUGUGGAGCGCUACCUGGCUGUGGUCCAUCCCAUCACCUACCUGAGCCUGAGAAAAGAGAGAGGGAUCAGAAUCAGGAACAUCAGCAUCGGCUGUGUCUGGCUGCUUUGCUUUGUAAAGAUCAGUAUGCUGGUGCUGACAGAGUCCAUCUUUUAUGAUUUAUGCAUCUUGAUACCAUCUUUAUCCGUCGUCUCCUUCUGCAGUGUUUCUGUUCUCUGUGUUCUGAUUCGUCCAGGUCCAGGGGAACAGGGUGGGGACAGGAAGAGGGUUGACCAAUCAAAGCAGAGGGCGUUCUACACCAUUAUGGUCAUACUGGGAGUACUGGUGGUGAGGUUUACUUGGUAUCUGGUUUGGGCUGUGGUGUACAAGUUGGAAAGUGAUACUAAUUGUGUGAUAAUGACAACAGGUAUCUGGCUUAUUCUUCCCAGAAGUCUGGUCUUACCUCUGCUGUUUCUACUCAGAGCAGGAAAAUUAAUGUGUUUGAAGAAGAACAUCCAGUGAGGAUCAGGCCGAGAUUUGCAAAAGUACAAUUACAACAGAUACACAAAAACAGGCGAAUGGAAAAUUAUGUAGAAACAAUGACAGUCAAGAUUAGACUGCAAGAUGAUCAUGAAGUUCAUUUCACAUCUUUAUUUUUCCCCAUUUGGUUUCAGAUUAAUUUAAUAACAGACCUGAAUCUGAAACCUCCUUUUCCUUUUCUUGGUGGCGUCACAUCAUUUUUAUUCUCCUACUGCAGCCUUUCUGUUCUCCGUGUUAUCAUUUACAAAAAUAAUACUGUAAAAAACAUCCAUGUAGAUAACAAAAUGACAGUAAAUCUUAUCUGAGUGUUUUUUCUCUUUACUGUCUCAUAGAUUUUUAAUGGACAACAAAACUGCCCAAAGUUCUUGAUUGAAACACCCUCUGGUUUGGUCUCUUAAAGUGCCAAGUUGGUGUGUCAGCUGCUGAGGGUUUUAAAAAACAUUUUUUUACCUGAGAUAAUCCCACACUCAUAGAUCUUUACAUGUAGAACAGAUUUCUCCUCGUCAUUAACUUUUUAUCCCAUUUUGUGGUGUCAUGUGGUGAACCCAUGGCAGAAAGCACAGGAGGUCCUCUACUUACGUCUGAAUUCCAUUCAUAAGGAUCGAUGGAAGUCGGUUCUCACCGCAAGUCGGAACUCCAGCAAAAAUGUGAACAGUUGCAUCACAACAUCAGUUCUUCAGUCAUGAAUACCAACGACUUUCAUGCAUGUAUAAAUCAUUUUACUAGAAGAUAACAGAAUAUGUUGACCCGUUUAUGAUUUGAUCUACUUGAUCAUGCUGGGAACCAUAAUGAAGGACAGAACUAGUUCCAUGUAACCAGUUCGGACUUAACGAUGAAACACUGUAGGUCGGUGAUGUCAUAAACCGAAGACCUCCUGUUGAGUGAUUCAAUUUUAUUUAUAUAGUGCCAAUUACAGUCAAAUUGUCUCAAGAUUCUUUACAGAACCCAAAUGUGUGUUAUACAACUAGGCUGGACUCGAGCAGAGAACCACGCUAUCGAGACCAAGAUGCAGUUUGAAAAUGAUUUAUUAUGGGGGAGAGGGAAGUGGAUCUGACGGGAGAAGAGCCGGGGUCUUGUCGGGAGGGGAAGCGAGGAGCGGUACCGGGUGGGCUGCGUUUCAGCCGGGGGUCGGCGGCCGUAGGUUCCAGGAGGGGAAGCAGAGUGCGGCGCCGGAUGGUCUUGGGAUCCCUGGCGACUGGAGGGGAUGCAGAGAUUUGGGGACAGGAGGGCUAGGAUGCAGGCUGGACAGACUGGAGCGUUCGGAACCGGGCUGGUUUGAUAUUUCUUCCUGAUUGUCACAGACAGGAGUGGGGGCGCCAGGAGAGAAGGGGGAAUGGUGCCGAGAGGAGGUUCUGGGGCGAGGUUGGGUCCAGAGGAGGAAACCAGAGAGAAACAGCAGGCAGGAGUCUGAGCAGCGGAUUCUGGUAAGACAGGAGAACACGGUUAGUGGUUAGCUUCAAAAACCAACAGGUCAAAAGAACGAGAAGGCGACUGACUGGGUAAGUCGAGUCUAACGAUCCGGCAGGAUGUUGCAGGAUGAGUCGGUGUUUUAUUGCCAGGGUGUAAUCAGAAGAAUGAUCGUCAGCUGCUCAGACUCUGGUGGGACUGACUGAGGGAAUGGUUUCAGCUGCUCUCAUCAGCUCUGCUGUCAGGAGAGGGAGAGAAGACAGGAUGAUGAAUUAACAGGUGUCAGGUGUGGGUGAGCGUGAGGGGAGGAUCCUGACAAUAUGCCUGACCUGAUUCUGAUUUUAUCAGUUUAUGUAAAAAUCUUUAUUGUGUUUCUGUUUUGUUAAUCUGCUGAAAAAUCAUGUUUUGAAAAAAAGAUCAAGUCAUGUAUAUUUUUGACUGAAUUCUCCUGUGUGAUGCUCAUAAAACCUGUUAUGUUUCUUCUGCUUCCCUGUAUAAUCCUGAUUAAACAACUAAAAAACCUG
Acanthochromis polyacanthus (spiny chromis) is the source of this 5654-nucleotide long non-coding RNA. RefSeq lists it as uncharacterized. NCBI's taxonomy places the organism in Eukaryota, Metazoa, Chordata, Actinopteri, Pomacentridae. The record is from RefSeq and is a predicted model, not a curated record. The transcript is spliced from 2 exons.